Molecule: long non-coding RNA, 608 nt
Organism: Megachile rotundata (alfalfa leafcutting bee)
Lineage: Eukaryota; Metazoa; Arthropoda; Insecta; Hymenoptera; Megachilidae
Source: RefSeq, a predicted model, not a curated record
AGGUUUACAACCGCCUCCGGUUGCACGCCCGGCAAUGUCAGAUACUUCUUCAACGUUUCGAUGCUCGCCUCGUGAUCCGGAUAUAUUACCAGAGCGUUAGAGGUUCGCGCUUCGGAACGUCUGGCCGAACGAACAAACGUUUACGGAAAGUGGAAAAAGAAACGAAUAAAAGAGCGAUAUCUAUAGAUCGACCUAAAGGCUAAAACGCGCUCUGACCAGAACGCUAAACUCGUUAUUUACUAAAGUGGGAUUAGCGAAGCCACGAUUGCGUAAGAUCCCGUAUUAGAAUUCGUCGGACACGCGUGGAUGUAGAAAAAAACGUUAAUCGACGGAUUAAAGGGGAAGAAGUCUGUUAUCGAAAGAAAAUUAGAUAUUUUCAAUGUUCGAAUACGCUUCGUUAGCAAGAAAGACAUCGAAUUGAUUAUUAUAGCUUUCCGGCGGAAAUUUGAAAUUCGAAAAGUACCCUUGCAAGACAGCGUUGAAGUCGUCGAUGCAACGCGACCAGUCUUCCUCGAGAUUCCAAUGCUCCUCGUUCGAGAUCAGGUUGCCGAGAGUAUCGUUGUUGGCGGUGAUCGCGUCGCAAACGAACAAGAGAACGACGAGUCUGA